AUGGACGCCGGCGCCGGCGCCGGCGCUGGCGCGCCCUACGCCUCCCGCACGGCGGAGGAGGUCUUCCGCGACUUCCGCGGCCGCCGCGCCGGCAUGAUCAAGGCCCUCACCCAAGAAGUGGACAAGUUCUACCAGCUCUGCGACCCCGAAAAGGAGAACUUGUGCCUUUAUGGGUACCCUAAUGAAACAUGGGAAGUGACGUUGCCUGCUGAGGAAGUUCCCCCAGAGAUUCCUGAACCAGCACUUGGAAUCAACUUUGCUAGGGAUGGCAUGAACGAGAAGGAUUGGUUGGCACUAGUUGCUGUUCACAGUGAUUCCUGGUUGUUGGCUGUUUCAUUCUACUUCGCGGCACGGUUUGGAUUUGACAAAGAGGCAAGGAGGCGACUCUUCAACAUGAUAAAUAACCUGCCUACAAUAUUUGAAGUCGUGACUGGGGCUGCAAAGAAGCAGAUCAAGGAGAAGGCCCCCAACAGUACGCACAAGAGCAAUAAUAAGCCAAGCAUGAAAACUUAUUCAAAGCCUGAGUCCCAAUCAAAGGCCCCAAAGAUAGCAGCGCCCCCAAAGGAUGAAGAUGAGAGCGGCGAGGACUAUGGAGAAGAAGAGGAGGAAGAGCGCGACAACACCUUGUGUGGUACCUGUGGAACAAACGACGGCAAGGACGAGUUCUGGAUCUGCUGCGACAACUGCGAGCGGUGGUAUCAUGGGAAAUGCGUCAAGAUCACGCCUGCUCGAGCCGAGCAUAUCAAGCACUACAAGUGCCCAGACUGCAGCAACAAGAGGGCGAGGGCGUAA
RNAcentral lists this ribosomal RNA (792 nucleotides) under Triticum aestivum (bread wheat). RNAcentral describes it as "partial small subunit ribosomal RNA". The record is from RNAcentral. Lineage: Eukaryota; Viridiplantae; Streptophyta; Magnoliopsida; Poales; Poaceae.